GCCACCCGAACCGCUGAGGUUCCUUUCCAUGCUGUGGAGGAUUUGUUCUUUUGCUGUUUGUAAUAAAUCUUGCUGCAGCUAACUUUUUGGGUCUGCGCCGCUUUUAUGAGCUGUAAUACUCACCGCGAAGGUCUGCAGCUUCACUCCUGAGGCCAGCAAGACCAUGAACCCACCGGAAGGAACGAAACUCCAGACGUGCAGCCUUUAAGAGCUGUAACACUCACCGUGAAGGUCUGCAGCUUCGCUCCUGAAGUCAGCGAGACCACGAAACCACCAGAAGGAACAAACUCCAGACACACCAUCUUUAAGAACUGUAACACUCACCGCGGGGGUCUGCUGCUUCAUUCUUGAAGUCAGUGAGACGAAGAAGCCACCAAUUCCGGACGCACUACAACAUGAAUGAAUCUCAAAAAUAUUAUGUUCCUUGAGAAAGAGGAGUCAAAUCCAAAAAGGACAUUAGUUGAGACUCUGAAGACCAUCCCUAUUUUGGGAAAGCUCAAGAUGGGUGGCAGCAGGACCCUGGUUCCCAUUAAGGAGGCCUGAGUUUCCAGCUGCUCUGCUCCCAUUGCAGCAAGGCAAUGGACAUUUGAAUAAGGGAAUCAAGAACCCUGCACAGCACUCCUGUUCUGGGGCCCAGGACAUUGACUACAAAGAACCAUGUUUUCCAAUGUGUGGUGCCUGAAUCAGCAUUGAGAUCAGCAUUAACCGGGAACAUUUUCAGAAAGCAAAUUUUCAAGCUGCCUUCUUUCCUCCUCACCCAUCGAGACCUGUGAAGUCAGCGAUAUGUGUUUUGCGAACACAUAAAUCUCCUUCUAGGAGAUUCGGUAUGUGAUAUACCUGUAAAACACUGCUUAGACUAUUAAACAUAUUGAUCCAUCAAAC
RNAcentral lists this long non-coding RNA (882 nucleotides) under Homo sapiens (human). Its description in RNAcentral is "HSALNT0272630". Lineage: Eukaryota; Metazoa; Chordata; Mammalia; Primates; Hominidae. The record is from RNAcentral.